UGACAUUUUCUCUCCUCACUUUUUCUUUCUUUAUUUUCUCUCCCCUUAAUUAUUUGCUCUUUUUCUUUCUCUCUCAUUGCUCUUUCUCUUUUCUCUAUCCUCCCUUUCUCUAUCCUCACUUUUUCUCUCUUAUCUUUUAUUUAUGACACAACUAAAUAUUAUUAAAAAAAAAUGGGCCAAUUACUUAUAUACUCCUGAAAAGUUUUCGACUUUCUGAUUUACCCCUUUUAGAAGUCUAAUAUUGAAAAUAUUUUUUUUACAUUCCAACUUAUUUUAAAUAUAAUCCUAGAGUUAAAAUCUGUUAAUGAAUUCUGUUAUCUGUAAAAAAUUAUUAUUUUGCCUUUUUAAAUAUACUCUUCCGCCAUCAUCGACUUUUCUUAUUUGUCCUUAAGUCAGGGGCACAAAACGUAUUUUGACUUUUGGUCUUUUCAAAUAUACUUCUCUACCGUCGCCAAUAUUUCUUAUUUGCCCUUAAGUUAAGGGUAAAAUUGGUAUUUCAAUUUUUUUUAACCGUGGUAGAUAUUUAACUCACGUUUAAUCCAAGUUAACUUAACGGGUGGUAACUGUAGGAAUAUUUUGGAAUUACGGAGGAACAUAUAAGGGGUAUGUUGGAAAGGAAAAAAAAUGUAGGGGUAAAUGAGAUAUUUCUGAAGUUUUGAGAGGUAUAUAGGUAAUUAUCUAAAAAAAAAAAAUUUAUAGAAGCAAUGUUUA
This 711-nucleotide long non-coding RNA is filed under the name Ananas comosus (pineapple). Its description in RNAcentral is "long non-coding RNA (ACOM_LNC008716)". Lineage: Eukaryota; Viridiplantae; Streptophyta; Magnoliopsida; Poales; Bromeliaceae. The record is from RNAcentral.